GGGUCGUUAGCUCAGUCCGGUAGAGCAGCGGACUCUUAAUCCGCGGGCCAAAGGUUCGAAUCCUUUACGACCCA
This 74-nucleotide transfer RNA is filed under the name Deltaproteobacteria bacterium. Its description in RNAcentral is "tRNA-Lys". It matches the Rfam family "tRNA". Rfam says of the family: Transfer RNA (tRNA) molecules are approximately 80 nucleotides in length. Their secondary structure includes four short double-helical elements and three loops (D, anti-codon, and T loops). RNAcentral also lists the same sequence under 2 other names. The record is from RNAcentral. Lineage: Bacteria; Pseudomonadati; Myxococcota; Myxococcia.